Sus scrofa (pig) is the source of this 2119-nucleotide non-coding RNA. NCBI's taxonomy places the organism in Eukaryota, Metazoa, Chordata, Mammalia, Artiodactyla, Suidae. The record is from RefSeq and is a predicted model, not a curated record.
AUUUCAUAUUAAUGUAUAUUUAUAUUUAAAUUAUUUAAACUUUAUUUGAAAGGUGAGUUUUUUUGUUUGCAUGUGCACGCAUACACACACACGCACACACACACCAAUUCUAUGCAGAACAAAUAUGAUGACUUUUGUUAAAGAAAUCACACUAUUAGAUUAAAAUUCCUUCCAUAUUUAAUGGAUUCUCUCCUAGCUUAUUGCUUGAAAGACAAGCAAACUUUCGACUGGUGUAAGCUAGUCAGCUCCCCUUAAACUCUCUUUGCGUUUGCUUCUCAUUUUGGGGGUAGGGUAGGGUUGGGGUGGGUGCCAUGCCUGCAGCUUCUCAUAACUAAAUAAUUUAAAUUUACUUUUACAGUAGUUCUAAAAUAGUUAGAACUCACACAGAUAGCUUCUUAAGGGAGAUCAACGGAUGUACAUUCUUUUUAUUGAUUACACAUUUUCAUCCUCAAAAUUGCCAUAAAAAUGACCUUUUUCAAAGGUUCAGUGGAAACUGAGCACCGAGGACAUGGCAUCUGCCAAUACAAGUGACCUUACACUAAAUACCUGUGUUUUCCCUAGAGCACUUGGCACAAUCAUAGAUCUCAAGAAGUGUUUGGAAAAUGGGCUAAAAUUGAAUGUUCUGCCUAAGAGGUCAAGAACGGAUGCCACAAGGCACAACGGGGUAGAGGCAGUGAAGAAAGCCAUUUAAUAUUCCUCCGCUUCCAUCACCAAUCCCACUUCAAAACAUAAGAGGUUUAUCAACAUCUCUGAUCCAAGUUAAUCAGCUAAUGAUUGUGAAAGAGACUUUGGGAGCACUAUGAUCCAAACCACCAUUUAAAAAGUGAUAAAACUAUGAGGUCAUUACACGAAUCAGAUGGCCUAAGAUCCCAGAGGUGGACCCUUCAGAUUCUAAGUAAUGAAAACAGUGGAAGCCUGGUUCUGCAAAUUUCAGCUCUUCCUUGUCAUUUGUCCAGAAGCCUAAACGGAAACAGUCUUCCUUCCAGGCCCAUCUAUCACAGCCACAGAGUUACGUAAUAAAACGUCAAAAUAAUGACUUGGAGACACUGUGAAAUGCUACAGUGCCUGCCAAACUUCCAAGAAACAGGUAAGCUUUUAUAAAAAUAAGUAUAUUUUAUGGACUUAUAAUACUUUGAAAAUUGAAAACAAUAUAUAGUUGAGCAUAAUAUUAAAAGUAGCAUCAUGACAUUCUUCAACUAUUUCAGUGAAAGCAGCCUUUUCACACACUAUCUGAGAUCAUUUCAGCUUUCAAAAAUGAUAAGAGUCUGCUUGUAAUUAACACAUAAAUGAUGACUCAAUGACAAUUUAAUUUUUUGUGUAAAAGCAACAUGCACUAGCAUGGAAUUCUCCCUAUUAAAGCCCAAUCUCCUUUGCUGUUAGUUUUCAGAUACUUUCUAAUAUGUAGUAUAAAAAUUUUUGCAUUAUUUUUUAAAAUAAAAAUUGGUUAAUUUUUUUUUCACAACCAAAGCCACAUAUAAGGAAGUUCCUGAUAAAAAUAAAAACAUCUUUUUCAAAUAUUCAUGUUCAUGGUAGGAAUUUUAGAAAACAGAAAAGUAUAAAGCAGAAAAUUAAAACUGUCUAGAUUUCACCAUCCAAAGAUGACUGCUUUUAAUAUUCUUAUACAUUUUGCUUUGGGUUUUAAAUCUUUUUGUUUAGAAAAAAUUUAGAAGGAUAGAAAAGUUGCAAGUAUAGCACAGAAGGUUACCGUAUAUACUUCAGACAGCUUCCCUUAAGGUUAGGGCUUACAUUAUCAUAGUACUGUUACCAAAACUUAGGAAAUCAACAUUGAAACAAUCCUAUUAAUGAAGCCAAAGACUAUUAAAAUUAUCCAGCUUUUUUUUUGUUUUGUUAUUAAUGUCCUUUUACUGUUUCCAGGAUCCUCUUUAGGAUCUCAUGUUGUAUUAGGUGUCAUGUUUCUGACGUGUGAUGAGAUUGACACUUCAGAAGAAGACUACUCAGUUAUUUUAACUUCUUUCUACAAUGGACAGUGGAAAAACUGGCUGUCAUUGUCUACAAUAUAUACCUUUUUAUUGCCUAGCUGCAGUAUACAUAGAAAAUAGUUUCAUUUGUUGUUGGUGUUUUUUUUUUUUUUUUUUUUUUUAAGGGCUGUACUUGAGGC